CCUACGGGAGGCAGCAGUGAGGAAUAUUGGUCAAUGGACGAGAGUCUGAACCAGCCAAGUAGCGUGAAGGAUGACUGCCCUAUGGGUUGUAAACUUCUUUUAUAUGGGAAUAAAACGUUCCACGUGUGGGAUUUUGUAUGUACCAUAUGAAUAAGGAUCGGCUAACUCCGUGCCAGCAGCCGCGGUAAUACGGAGGAUCCGAGCGUUAUCCGGAUUUAUUGGGUUUAAAGGGAGCGUAGGUGGAUUGUUAAGUCAGUUGUGAAAGUUUGCGGCUCAACCGUAAAAUUGCAGUUGAUACUGGCAGUCUUGAGUACAGUAGAGGUGGGCGGAAUUCGUGGUGUAGCGGUGAAAUGCUUAGAGAUCACGAAGAACUCCGAUUGCGAAGGCAGUUCACUGGACUGCAACUGACACUGAGGCUCGAAAGUGUGGGUAUCAAACAGGAUUAGAUACCCCAGUAGUC
Molecule: ribosomal RNA, 460 nt
Filed under: uncultured bacterium
Lineage: Bacteria
Description: partial 16S ribosomal RNA
Rfam family: Bacterial small subunit ribosomal RNA
Source: RNAcentral